Hippocampus comes (tiger tail seahorse) is the source of this 603-nucleotide long non-coding RNA. RefSeq lists it as uncharacterized. The transcript is spliced from 3 exons. The record is from RefSeq and is a predicted model, not a curated record. Lineage: Eukaryota; Metazoa; Chordata; Actinopteri; Syngnathiformes; Syngnathidae.
ACAACAAGUGCAAUCCCCGGAAAUACCUGGGAUCUUUUUACACCGACUCCCUGGUUCACGACCCCGUCUCCCUCAAGUUGCUGACUGACGUCAUCGGAAAAGAUAAAGUCAUGCUUGGAACGGAUUACCCAUUCCCACUGGGCGAGCUCCAACCUGGAUCUCUGAUUGAGUCGAUGACAGAAUUUGAUGAGACACUGAAGGACAAGUUACUAGCUGGGAAUGCCCUGGAGUUUCUGGGCCUCAAAAAAGAAACAUUUGAGUCACAAGGAGAGUGACUCCAAGCUUUGACGGAGUUCAAAUCUCGUGGUCAUAGUUGAUUCAGACUCUGUUGUUGUUGAUGGUUGCUUUUUUAGCAGUGAUUUUAAUUAUUCCAUUUCAGAAAUUUGAAAUUCAAUAAGUGAGAAAAGAAACAACUAGACAAGAAUAUGUUUGGGCGAAAUGGAAUACGUUACAGUUUCUUAAGCAGACUUUGUAAUGCAGCCAACACAAUCAAAACGUAUGAUGUGCUGGGUUGUUUUAUUGCAAAAAUUCCAACAUUAAUCAUACCGAUUUUUGUGAACUGUGCAUGAGCUACAAAAAUUUCAAUGAUCAAUAAAACACUUA